UUUAUUUUUUGGGUUUCAGUUUGCAUGGCCAGAAACAAAAGCUCUGUCCACCCACCGAAAGUCUAUAUCCUGAUAAUCAUCGUCGUCGCUGCAUAUAUUCAUAUAUAUUCUGAAUAGGAGAUUUUUCUCCAAAUUUCGUGACCACAGCCUAAAAUAUCGGUUGGCCAACUUGCUCGCUCGUCUCCAUAUGGCCAGGCUAGCUUUGCGCUUUCAAUGUGUGAGCUUUACAAAAGCAGGGUCAGUGUCACAUUUUGUUGAUGCACCGUGAACGAGGAAUCUUCUCAAGAGAUCCGCAUUGUGCAGGAUAAUCCGGAAAACCAAACAAAGAAUGUGAUUAGCGCGUACCAUUGCUGGAAAAAUAGUGGGUGUUAGUCCUCUUGCUUCAAGUGGUUAAGCAUGGAAGAUAUGUGGGAGUAUAUGAACUAGAAGAGCAAAUCACCAUCUGAAUGUAUAUGCGCGAUCUCUUGGUUUGGUCCAUGUCACUUUGUGAAGGUGAAGAAUUCGAGUGGUUAAAGCAUGCUCAAUAUAUUGAGUCCUAACAAUUUGUUGGAAAAAACAUAGUUAUGCGAGGGAACAAGUAUGACUCCAGUCCCAUGACACCCAGAACUAGAUUGGAAAGGCUUCUGAGGGAAAGAGAGCUAAGAAAAUCUAGCCGGUUUUCCCAUCCUAGUGCAGAGGCAACAGAUGUUAACAAAGAGGCAGAGCUCCCUGCCAAUGACCCAUGUUCAGCUGAGGGUGAUCAUUCGGGUCUACCUAAUGAGGAAGAGCUAUUGGAAGGGGUUGCAGCUGCAAGAGCUUUUGCAGAUGGAUGUCAAAAGCAAGAUGUUCGGCCUCCUAAACAACGUUUAUUGGUGGUAGCCAAUAGGUUGCCGGUCUCUGCUACCAGAAGGGGCGAGGGCUUGUGGCAACUUGAGAUGAGUGUUGGGGGGUUAGUCAGUGCCCUUUUGGGACUGAAGGAGUUUGAUGCCAGAUGGAUUGGUUGGGCUGGUGUAAAUGUACCCGAUGAUGUUGGACGAAGAACACUUACUCAUGCCUUAGCUCAAAAGAGGUGCAUCCCAGUAUUUCUUGAUGAGGCGAUGGUUCAUCAAUAUUACAAUGGUUAUUGUAACAACAUCUUAUGGCCUCUUUUUCAUUAUCUUGGGCUUCCACAGGAAGACCGCCUUGCGACCACCCGUAGUUUCCAAUCUCAAUUUGAUGCAUAUAAGAAGGCAAACCAAAUGUUUGCUGAAGUGGUGAACCAACAUUAUGAGGAGGGAGAUGUUGUUUGGUGCCAUGAUUAUCACCUAAUGUUUCUUCCAAAAUGUCUAAAAGAAUAUAACAACAACAUGAAAGUUGGUUGGUUUCUUCAUACUCCCUUUCCCUCCUCUGAAAUACAUAGGACACUGCCUUCUCGAUCAGAGCUGUUGAGAUCUGUUCUUGUUGCUGAUUUAGUUGGUUUCCACACGUAUGACUAUGCAAGGCAUUUUGUAAGUGCCUGCACUCGCAUUCUUGGGCUUGAGGGUACACCUGAAGGAGUAGAGGAUCAAGGAAAGCUUACACGUGUAGCUGCGUUUCCUAUUGGGAUAGAUUCUGAACGAUUUAUUCGAGCUCUCGAACUGCCUCAAGUUAAGGAUCACAUGAAAGAACUGAAACAAAGAUUUGCUGGCCGAAAGGUAAUGUUGGGGGUUGAUCGUCUCGAUAUGAUUAAAGGAAUUCCCCAAAAGAUUUUGGCUUUUGAAAAGUUUCUUGAAGAAAAUCCACACUGGCGUGAUCGAGUAGUUUUGUUGCAGAUCGCAGUGCCAACAAGGACAGAUGUUCCAGAGUAUCAAAAGCUUACAAGCCAGGUUCAUGAGAUUGUUGGACGCAUUAAUGGAAGAUUUGGAACUCUGACUGCAGUUCCAAUACAUCAUCUGGAUCGAUCUCUUGACUUUCAUGCAUUAUGCGCACUCUAUGCUGUUACUGAUGUAGCACUUGUAACAUCUUUAAGGGAUGGAAUGAACCUUGUCAGCUACGAGUUUGUUGCGUGCCAAGCUUCCAAGAAAGGAGUUCUCAUUCUAAGUGAGUUUGCAGGUGCAGCACAGUCUCUUGGAGCUGGGGCUAUUUUGGUAAACCCAUGGAACAUCACUGAAGUUGCAUCUUCCAUUAGCUAUGCUUUAGAUAUGCCAGCGGAUGAAAGAGAAAAAAGGCAUCAGCAUAACUUUAAGCAUGUGACAACUCACACAUCUCAAGAAUGGGCUGCAACCUUUGUAAGUGAACUCAAUGAUACCAUUGUUGAAGCUCAACUUAGGACAAGACAGGUUCCACCAUUACUUCCAAUGAAAGAUGCAGUAGAUUGUUACUCGAAAUCCAAUAAUAGAUUGCUAAUACUAGGAUUCAAUUCUACCUUAACUGAAUCAGUGGAUGCUCUUGGGAGAAAUGGUCAAUUAAAAGAAAUCGAGCUUAAACUGCACCCAUAUAUAAAGGAGCCUUUAAAGAAGCUUUGUGAUGACCCAAAGACAACAAUUGUUGUCCUUAGCGGAAGUGACAGAACUAUCUUGGAUGAUAACUUCAAUGAAUACAACAUGUGGUUGGCAGCAGAAAAUGGUAUAUUUUUGCGUCCUACGAUGGGAGAAUGGAUGACAACAAUGCCUGAAAAUUUAUACAUGGAUUGGGUUGAGAGUGUAAAACAUGUUUUUGAGUAUUUUACUGAAAGAACACCUCGAUCUCAUUUUGAGCUUCGAGAAACUUCCCUUGUAUGGAACUACAAGUACUCAGAUGUUGAGUUCGGAAGGAUUCAAGCAAGGGAUAUGUUGCAGCAUCUUUGGACAGGUCCCAUCUCUAAUGCAUCAGUUGAUGUUGUCCAAGGCAGCCGGUCUGUUGAGGUCCGAGCAGUUGGUGUUACGAAGGGUGCAGCUAUUGAUCGUAUCUUAGGAGAAAUAGUUCGAUAUAAAGGCAUGAAGUCACCCAUUGAUUAUGUCCUGUGUGUUGGGGACUUUCUAACAAAGGAUGAAGAUGUUUAUACAUUUUUUGAGCCUGAGCUUCCUUCUGAAUCGCCACCUGCAGCAAGAGGCAUGCUAACCAACCUUGUCAGGGCAUCUGUGCCAAAGAUUCCAGCCAGUAAAAGUGCAUCCAAGUCGUCUCGCCUCAAGAAACAGCGUUCAAUGUCUACUUUAGAAAAGAGAGCAAUCAGUCACGGAAAUGAGAUUGUUUUGCAGCCUAUAAUGCAAGAUAGAAAGUCAAUGCGUGAGGGUUCUUCAGUACUUGAUCUCAAAGGUGACAAUUACUUCUCUUGCGCUGUUGGGCGAAAGAGAUCAAAUGCUCGUUAUCUCCUUGGAUCAGCCGAUGAUGUUGUGACUCUCCUAAAGGAACUGGUGCAGUGUCCAUCUAGCUGAUCACAUUGUGCCGACAGCAAUUAUUGCUGUGAAUCUGAAGGUUGAGAUGCUUGGGCAUGGUUAUGUUGUGGUGGUUGCCUGAUUUCCUCAUACAUGUGCAUAUAUCAAUCUCUUCGUCUACGGUGUCCAAGCGGCUAUAUAUUUUUUCUUGGUCCACAUAAGUUCAAGUUUUACUAAGUAUAGGAGCAUCAGGAUGAGCUUGAACAAAUUACAUUGAUACAAGAAAUAUUCAGACGAUAUUUUUCAUACAACACAAGAAACAAGAAAAGAAGAGAGGUUACAGGCUUGGUCACCACUUUCCAUGCAUAGAGAACAUUCUGUGCCUAAACAUCGAACCCCCCCUUUUUUUGGGUCUUGGAGAUCAAAAUAAGUAGAGUUGGUAUUCAGAGAGCACCCCACCAGGUUUGACUGUACUGAAACAGACCAUGUUGUUGUUCUGGUGCACCAAGACAUUCUCGUCCUUUCCCCUAUAUCCAUCUAUAGGGCAUGUACCUAAAGAUUGAGUCUGCAAAAUAAGAAGAUCUUACUGCAUGUCAUUGCUGAUGAAAGCUAUAUAGCUGGAAAGAUGGUCCUUUAAAGAACAGACAAACAAACUUGGAAAUGAAGAUUGUUGACAAGCAAGUGAAGUGAUGGAUGCUAAGAAGUGUGGGUAAUUAGAUAAAACGAGAGGCUCCGCUCAUGCCUUUUGGCGGAAAGGCAAAUGCUAAGAAUAUGGGGGGGUACCAGAAGCCGAGAGAGAUCGUUUGGGGAUAAGUUGAAUUGGCACAAAUGUCAACAACAAAAUAUGGCAUAGAUUGGCACAAAGUAGGCAAUUUUUUUGACUUAGCUUAUUAGCGCAUACACAAAGAAUGAAAGGAGUUAUAUUUAUUAUCUUUGCUUGAAUAAUAUUCCCUUCCGCAUGCCUUUGGAAUUGGAUUUGGUGGUCCUUUUGAGGCCAUACCAUUGGAUUUAGACCUCCACUUGAGAGGUUAAAAAAAAACUCCAUUCCACGUCAUCUAUGCACUCUACUCUACUCUACUCUAUUAUG
Juglans regia (Persian walnut) is the source of this 4377-nucleotide RNA transcript. It is a transcript of the gene named alpha,alpha-trehalose-phosphate synthase [UDP-forming] 1-like, with no coding region annotated. The record is from RefSeq and is a predicted model, not a curated record. The transcript has 20 exons. NCBI's taxonomy places the organism in Eukaryota, Viridiplantae, Streptophyta, Magnoliopsida, Fagales, Juglandaceae.